RNAcentral lists this ribosomal RNA (731 nucleotides) under Mixta calida. Its description in RNAcentral is "bacterial SSU rRNA". It matches the Rfam family "Bacterial small subunit ribosomal RNA", at positions 565 to 1296 of the family's 1533-position model. Lineage: Bacteria; Pseudomonadati; Pseudomonadota; Gammaproteobacteria; Enterobacterales; Erwiniaceae. The record is from RNAcentral.
GCGCACGCAGGCGGUCUGUUAAGUCAGAUGUGAAAUCCCCGGGCUUAACCUGGGAACUGCAUUUGAAACUGGCAGGCUUGAGUCUCGUAGAGGGGGGUAGAAUUCCAGGUGUAGCGGUGAAAUGCGUAGAGAUCUGGAGGAAUACCGGUGGCGAAGGCGGCCCCCUGGACGAAGACUGACGCUCAGGUGCGAAAGCGUGGGGAGCAAACAGGAUUAGAUACCCUGGUAGUCCACGCCGUAAACGAUGUCGACUUGGAGGCUGUUUCCUUGAGAAGUGGCUUCCGGAGCUAACGCGUUAAGUCGACCGCCUGGGGAGUACGGCCGCAAGGUUAAAACUCAAAUGAAUUGACGGGGGCCCGCACAAGCGGUGGAGCAUGUGGUUUAAUUCGAUGCAACGCGAAGAACCUUACCUGGUCUUGACAUCCACGGAAUUCGGCAGAGAUGCCCUAGUGCCUUCGGGAACCGUGAGACAGGUGCUGCAUGGCUGUCGUCAGCUCGUGUUGUGAAAUGUUGGGUUAAGUCCCGCAACGAGCGCAACCCUUAUCCUUUGUUGCCAGCGCGUGAGGCGGGAACUCAAAGGAGACUGCCGGUGAUAAACCGGAGGAAGGUGGGGAUGACGUCAAGUCAUCAUGGCCCUAACGACCAGGGCUACACACGUGCUACAAUGGCGCAUACAAAGAGAAGCGACCUCGCGAGAGCAAGCGGACCUCAUAAAGUGCGUCGUAGUCCGG